GUCUGGCCGUGCUACCCUUAAUGUGCCCGAUCUCAUUUGAUCUCAGAAGCUAAGCAGGGUCGGGCCUGAUUAGUAUUUGGAUGGGAGACUACCUUGGAAUACAACGUGCUGUAGGCA
This 117-nucleotide ribosomal RNA is filed under the name Pteropus alecto (black flying fox). Lineage: Eukaryota; Metazoa; Chordata; Mammalia; Chiroptera; Pteropodidae. The record is from RNAcentral.